Molecule: ribosomal RNA, 433 nt
Filed under: uncultured bacterium
Lineage: Bacteria
Description: partial 16S ribosomal RNA
Rfam family: Bacterial small subunit ribosomal RNA
Source: RNAcentral
AACGAACGCUGGCGGCAUGCCUAACACAUGCCAGUCGAACGAGACCUUCGGGUCUAGUGGCGCACGGGUGCGUAACGCGUGGGAACCUGCCCUUAGGUUCGGACUAACUCCCCGAAAGGGGUGCUAAUACCGGAUAAUGUCUUCGGACCAAAGAUUUAUCGCCUUUGGAUGGGCCCGCGUUGGAUUAGCUAGUUGGUAGGGUAAAAGCCUACCAAGGCGACGAUCCAUAGCUGGUCUGAGAGGAUGAUCAGCCACACUGGGACUGAGACACGGCCCAGACUCCUACGGGAGGCAGCAGUGGGGAAUAUUGGACAAGGGGCGAAAGCCUGAUCCAGCAAUGCCGCGUGAGUGAUGAAGGCCUUAGGGUUGUAAAGCUCUUUUACCCGGGAUGAUAAUGACAGUACCGGGAGAAUAAGCUCCGGCUAACUCCGUG